Molecule: long non-coding RNA, 367 nt
Filed under: Volvox carteri
Lineage: Eukaryota; Viridiplantae; Chlorophyta; Chlorophyceae; Chlamydomonadales; Volvocaceae
Description: long non-coding RNA (VCAR_LNC001588)
Source: RNAcentral
UUCUGUACAUCGUAAGGAUGGGGGCGGUCGGCUACUGGCGCUAGGGUGGUGCUCGCAGCAAUGCCUUUUGCACCCCGCUGUAUGCAUUGCAGUGCAUGAUGAGGGAACCGACCGGCGGUUGCGACCCCAAGGCCUCCGGUUUCUCGCCUCUUGAUUGUGGCGAGAGUGCGCCUGCAGUUGAGCAUACUUGGCACAUGCGGGGCGAUGCCAGCUCGUCCAGUGAUCAUCUGCAGGGUCCUGGACACGCUGCCGGUCCGUGCCCAUCACCCCUUCCCUUACAGCAUGUAUGUCCUUCGCAUCCCCCCUGCCGCCGCCGCCGUGGUGGCGCUCCUGGUGUCGUGUCUUGAUUCGCCUGACUGUCCGUCUG